RNAcentral lists this ribosomal RNA (255 nucleotides) under uncultured bacterium. RNAcentral describes it as "partial 16S ribosomal RNA". It matches the Rfam family "Bacterial small subunit ribosomal RNA", at positions 524 to 778 of the family's 1533-position model. The record is from RNAcentral.
UACGGGGGGGGCAAGCGUUGUUCGGAAUUACUGGGCGUAAAGGGCUCGUAGGCGGCCAACUAAGUCAGACGUGAAAUCCCUCGGCUUAACCGGGGAACUGCGUCUGAUACUGGAUGGCUUGAAUCCGGGAGAGGGAUGCGGAAUUCCAGGUGUAGCGGUGAAAUGCGUAGAUAUCUGGAGGAACACCGGUGGCGAAGGCGGCAUCCUGGACCGGCAUUGACGCUGAGGAGCGAAAGCCAGGGGAGCAAAACGGGG